This is a non-coding RNA of Biomphalaria pfeifferi, 581 nucleotides long. Lineage: Eukaryota; Metazoa; Mollusca; Gastropoda; Planorbidae. The record is from the annotation of a GenBank genome assembly.
UUUUAGAAGAUGAAAUAUUUAUUGUUAACAUUUUUACAGAACCAAUGGAUUUAUGUCAAGGCCACUAAGACCAACAAGUAAAUGUGAGUCAUUUAUAUAAUACAUCCAAUAUUAUACUGUCUGUACACUCACACUUGUAUUUAAUCCUACAGGCUUUCAGUGGUUAUUAAAAUACAUUUGUACACACAGGUCAUCCACAGUGAACAAAAUAUCAGUUCUAUGCAGCUGUACACACUAACUAUGGACUUGUAGCAACACUGACAUAAAAUGUACACACAGCUCAAACACAUCAGUCUUGAUGAUUGUAAACAUUUAAAUAGAGGAAAACACAUUACAUUAACAGUUAACAAAAAAAUAUAUAUCAUUUUUCAAGUAAAUAAAAGAUGGCAACAAGCAAUAAUCACCAAACAGAUGAACAAAAACUUAAAAAAUAUUUUAGUACAACUAAGCCAACCAGAAUAAAAAAAAGUCAAGUUACAAGAAUUUAAAACAGCACAAACUAAUACUUAAAUGAAUCAGUCAGUAGUACUGAUCACUAAAAUGUUAUAGCUAGUUAUUGACUUGAUUAAAAAAAAACAACA